AUUGACUGGACCUCCAGCCGAUCCUCCAUAGCUGAAGCAAUCACCUCGGCCUCUUUGUACAUAAUAUAUCUCUCCAUCUGGUACAGAUAACUCCUCAACCUCUUCCUUCUCAUCAUAAUUUUGUUAUCCUUGGAGACAUUCAGCACCCCUAAAUCACUUCUAAAAAUGAAGCCCUUUUCCUCCAAGUAUCUAAGUGAUACUAUGUUCCUCCUG
Molecule: long non-coding RNA, 213 nt
Filed under: Elaeis guineensis (African oil palm)
Lineage: Eukaryota; Viridiplantae; Streptophyta; Magnoliopsida; Arecales; Arecaceae
Description: long non-coding RNA (EGUI_LNC018649)
Source: RNAcentral